RNAcentral lists this ribosomal RNA (433 nucleotides) under uncultured bacterium. RNAcentral's name for it is "partial 16S ribosomal RNA". It matches the Rfam family "Bacterial small subunit ribosomal RNA", at positions 29 to 507 of the family's 1533-position model. The record is from RNAcentral.
AACGAACGCUGGCGGCAUGCCUAACACAUGCAAGUCGAACGAGACCUUCGGGUCUAGUGGCGCACGGGUGCGUAACGCGUGGGAACCUGCCCUUAGGUUCGGAAUAACUCCCCGAAAGGGGUGCUAAUACCGGAUAAUGUCUUCGGACCAAAGAUUUAUCGCCUUUGGAUGGGCCCGCGUUGGAUUAGCCAGUUGGUAGGGUAAAAGCCUACCAAGGCGACGAUCCAUAGCUGGUCUGAGAGGAGGAUCAGCCACACUGGGACUGAGGCACGGCCCAGACUCCUACGGGAGGCAGCAGUGGGGAAUAUUGGACAAGGGGCGAAAGCCUGAUCCAGCAAUGCCGCGUGAGUGAUGAAGGCCUUAGGGUUGUAAAGCUCUUUUACCCGGGAUGAGAAUGACAGUACCGGGAGAAUAAGCACCGGCUAACUCCGUG